AUAAAUUUCAUAAGUUGGAACUGUCGGGGAGGGGGGAAUCCCCGGAUAGUUCAUGAGUUAGCGACUUUGGCUCAGUCGCAUUCCCCCACCUUUGUAAUCUUAUGUGAGACAAGGCAGAAGGAGAGGAAGACUAGGAGAUUACGUGGCAGGUUAGGUUUGAAGGGGUUUGAAGGUGUGGAUAGCAAUGGAAUGAGCGGAGGUUUGGCGUUCUUUUGGCAUGAAUCUUGCAUUGUGGAUAUAUUGGACAAGGAAGAAAGAUAUAUUGAUGCUAUUGUAAAGCUGCAAGAGGGUGGUGAGCAAUGGAGAAUCACCUGUAUUUAUAGUGAGCCCAGGACUGAAAAUAGACACAUUAUGUGGACAAAGCUUAGAAAUCUGAAGAACAUAAAUGACCUUCCUUGGUUAGUAAUUAGGGACUUCAACGAAGCACUUUGGAGCUUUGAGCACAUGUCAGUAACUCCGAGAGCUGAGCCACACAUGGUAGAAUUCCGUGAUACCUUGGAGGUGUGUGGACUAAUUGAUCUCGGCUUCACAGGAAUCCCUUUCACAUAUGAUAAUAAACAUGGUGGACAAUCCAAUGUUUGUGUAAGGCUGGACAGAGCUGUAGCAACAAACUCCUGGAGGAAUAUGUUUGCCUAUGCUUCGGUCCAACAUGUGCCACCGCCAUGUCCUGACCACGUGGCGCUAGUACUGAGAGGGAAACCUGAUCAACAAAGGGUAGUUGGAGGGGGCGACGAUAUGAUCUGUUCUGGGAGAGAGAUCCCUCACUACCAGAAGUUGUGA
This 780-nucleotide ribosomal RNA is filed under the name Triticum aestivum (bread wheat). RNAcentral's name for it is "partial small subunit ribosomal RNA". The record is from RNAcentral. Lineage: Eukaryota; Viridiplantae; Streptophyta; Magnoliopsida; Poales; Poaceae.